RNAcentral lists this ribosomal RNA (525 nucleotides) under uncultured bacterium. RNAcentral describes it as "partial 16S ribosomal RNA". It matches the Rfam family "Bacterial small subunit ribosomal RNA", at positions 355 to 874 of the family's 1533-position model. The record is from RNAcentral.
UGGGGAAUUUUGGACAAUGGGCGAAAGCCUGAUCCAGCAAUGCCGCGUGUGUGAAGAAGGCCUUCGGGUUGUAAAGCACUUUUGUCCGGAAAGAAAUCCUUGGCUCUAAUACAGUCGGGGGAUGACGGUACCGGAAGAAUAAGCACCGGCUAACUACGUGCCAGCAGCCGCGGUAAUACGUAGGGUGCAAGCGUUAAUCGGAAUUACUGGGCGUAAAGCGUGCGCAGGCGGUUUGCUAAGACCGAUGUGAAAUCCCCGGGCUCAACCUGGGAACUGCAUUGGUGACUGGCAGGCUAGAGUAUGGCAGAGGGGGGUAGAAUUCCACGUGUAGCAGUGAAAUGCGUAGAGAUGUGAGGAAUACCGAUGGCGAAGGCAGCCCCCUGGGCCAAUACUGACGCUCAUGCACGAAAGCGUGGGGAGCAAACAGGAUUAGAUACCCUGGUAGUCCACGCCCUAAACGAUGUCAACUAGUUGUUGGGGAUUCAUUUCCUUAGUAACGUAGCUAACGCGUGAAGUUGACCGCCU